AUAGCUCAGUUGGUAGAGCAUCAGGCUUUUCAUCUGAGGGGCAAUAGUUCAUAUCCCUAUUU
This 62-nucleotide transfer RNA is filed under the name Sarcophilus harrisii (Tasmanian devil). It matches the Rfam family "tRNA", at positions 7 to 64 of the family's 71-position model. Rfam says of the family: Transfer RNA (tRNA) molecules are approximately 80 nucleotides in length. Their secondary structure includes four short double-helical elements and three loops (D, anti-codon, and T loops). Lineage: Eukaryota; Metazoa; Chordata; Mammalia; Dasyuromorphia; Dasyuridae. The record is from Rfam by way of RNAcentral.